GCAAGUGAAACUAAACUGCUCGAUAUGGCAAGCCGUUAUAUAUAUCUACCAUCCUCGUUGCUCUUUUCUUACUAUUUGGUUAACUUUGAAUUAACUACACUGUUUCUUCCGUCUUCGUUUCUUUAAAACAAAUUUCCAUGUGAUGGGUACAGGUCAUGUACCAGUACUAAAGGACAAGCUACCUGCAAUCUUCUGCUUAGUUGUCGAUUUAACCUAUAUUAACCAGAAAACGAAGAAAACCUGAAGAAUGAUGCAAAAGGAAAAUGUAGCUGAACGUGGAAAAACCACUGUUUGUUGAAAGCCAUAUGAAAUAACCUGCCCCAUUGUCUGAGAAAAUGAACAGGAUCAACUAUGCUGAUUGGCUCCAGUGCUUUUUACAAGCGAGAGCUAAAGGAAAGCGAACAAUAUUGUAGAUAGAAGAGGAGCAGUCAUAUGAAUGUAAACAAUAAGCUUUUCAAACUUCGUUGGACAAACACCAAUAAAUGCCAGUACGACUGUACACUGAUGCAACAAACUACUUGCACUGCUGCACCAAGCACACUAGUAAUAUGGUAAGACAUCACACAUUAUUUCAGUAUUAUAAAAUGACAAAGUUAUACAUGUGCAUUUGUGUACAUAAAGGUGUUUAGCUUUUACCCUUAAACUUCUUUAUUUACUAGUAAAAAUUGCAAAUGAAGUAAAGAAAAAUCAAGCCAAAAUCUACUUACCUUAAAGUACGUUGCUUCCUGCUGUGGCCAUAUGACGAAGUACUCUUUGAAAGGAAGAUACUUGAAUGACAGUGAAUAGAUGUGUUGCCUGCCAUCUUAUAUACGCGUAGCCAGGUUCCGAAUCCUACCUUUCCUUACAAAAUGUUUAGGGAAAGGUUGACCCGACCUUUUUGCAGUGACCUCGACUAGAAGAAUAACCUUAGGCGAUUCCUUUACAGAGAAUAAAAUAUCCUCUGGCUCUGAAUGUAGGUCUGCCGCUUUUAAUGCUUUUAUGGCGGUUCAGGCCAUCGAACGUGGAUUUUAAAAAUUUUCACAUGCUGGGUACCUUUCAUAAUAUUUGGAUACACCGAUCACACACCAUCACAGCUGAGUAUUAACAUUUGGUUUUGCCUCUUCACUGGUUUAAUCUAAUCGUACAGGCUGCUUAUAAAUUCUUUUUGUGUUAUAAAAAAAUUGCUAUAAUAGUUUACUUAGAUAAUAUCGAAGGAGGACAUUUAUAUCAAAAGAACUGCUACUUUUUUUUGAAGAUGUUAUAAAUCACCAACAUUGGUUGUUUAUGAACAGUAAGGUAUUUGCAUGUUAUUAUUAGUUUUUUAGCUUUUUAUUAAUCCCGUGAGCAUAUUAGCUACUUUGUUUUUUUUUCUCUGUUUACAAUCUUUGACACCCAGUGAGUGUCUACCUGCUUAACUUCGCAUUUCUGUCACCCAACUAGGCGAUCCACAAAUGGAUUUUCUGCAAUUGUUCCCUAACUAUAAGAAGGGAUACUUCCGCACCGUCGCUCCCACACCUGCUCUGGUAAGACCAUGGAUGUUUGGCUGAAGAUCGUUCUUUACGGUAACGUACAUCUUGCAUUUUAGUGUUCCCGAUUGGAGAAGAUCGCUUGAUUCCAGUCUGGAUCCAUUCGGGCGUUGUAAUUCAUUUGCUCCCUAGACUGGACAGAAUAUUUUAUAGCAGAUCCAUAGAAGAACAUGAAACUCGGCUUUAUUUCGUCACCGUGGUCGGUGAACUACUGAGAAGCUUCCAAGCAGCAGUAACAUUAAGUUAAGACGCCCAUUUUGCUCGCAUCGGUCCUAAAUUCAAUAGUAAAGGAACGAUUCGUCUCGGCAAACAGAAAUGGUUUGUCUGGAUUUUCACAUCGGUGUAACGAAGUUAAUUUCACUUCCGAUGUGUUCCUCUUGAAUGUCUUAAAGUGUUGGAAAGAGGCAAAAGCAAAGCAAAUAGGCUGCUUUUGUUUAUCAGCAUUGUACGUCGCGAUCAUUUAACGGUUAGUACCCAUAAUUAGUUGAAGACACGUGAAGUUCUGUUUUUUUGCUCUCGAACAAAUUGGCCGUUUAUUUCCAGAACUCCCAGUCACCUGACACCUUCCCAUACAUUAUAGUAUACGAAACAGGACACUGCACAUUACCAUAUGAGGCCAUAUUCAAUGGAACUUCACUGUUGUUGAGAUUUGGUGUACAUUUGCGUUGUUCCUCGAUCGCUCACUAAAGAAAGAAUGUGUGAACUAUAAGUGAAAAACUUCGUUAUACCAUGAACAAAAGGGGAUUUUGAAUUGAAUCCCGAAAAGUCACGGACAUUGCAAUGGCUUUUAAAAAUCCGGAACUCAGUGUGAAAUCAAAAUCCAUGCAGUGGUAUAAAAGAUUGUGGCGCAAAUUAUGGCAGGGGAAACCAAAAUCUAAACUUCAAGCAGCUAUAUCCAAAGAAGAAUGUCAAGAAUCAUCCAGGAAUGUGGGAGUCGGUAAGAAUGCUGAAACGAAUAAUGUCAAAACAGAUGAACAUGUCUGGUUUUAUUGGCAUUCACAUUACGCUUCUAUAAAUGAAAAUUCGAUGACAUCUAACCAGCUGAACCCACUAUCAAAUCCCGACGCCACCAUGCAUAAUAUUGCGCAGCCUGAGUUCAAUGACGCUGUGGAUGAUGUGCUGCCUUUUUAUGAGACCCUAGGACAUGGCCGAAACAUCCCUGAUGCAAACUUUCUCGUACCAGCGCAAGUCGUUAGUGAUAAUACUGAACUUAACAUUACUGGGGUGCCAGAUGUUGCAGAACAAUAUCACAAUUCAUCAACAUACGACUCAAUGCAUGCAGCUGAAUUUUGCUUCGACAGCUAUUGUUCCGACUCGUCCGUUAGUUACUAAGCAUUGUCGAUGAGGGUGAA
Long non-coding RNA from Daphnia carinata, 2857 nucleotides. RefSeq lists it as uncharacterized. NCBI's taxonomy places the organism in Eukaryota, Metazoa, Arthropoda, Branchiopoda, Diplostraca, Daphniidae. The transcript is spliced from 10 exons. The record is from RefSeq and is a predicted model, not a curated record.